AACCUCCGCAAUGUGAGAAAUCGCGACGGGGGGAUCCCAAGUGCCAUUCUUAACGGGAUGGCUUUUCAUUAGUGUAAAGAGCUUUUGGAAUAAGGGCUGGGCAAGACCGGUGCCAGCCGCCGCGGUAACACCGGCAGCUCUAGUGGUAGCAGUUUUUAUUGGGCCUAAAGCGUCCGUAGCCGGUUUAAUAAGUCUCUGGUGAAAUCCUGCAGCUUAACUGUGGGAAUUGCUGGAGAUACUAUUAGACUUGAGACCGGGAGAGGUUGGAGGUACUCCCAGGGUAGAGGUGAAAUUCUGUAAUCCUGGGAGGACCGCCUGUUGCGAAGGCGUCUAACUGGAACGGUUCUGACGGUGAGGGACGAAAGUUAGGGGCGCGAACCGGAUUAGAUACCCGGGUAGUCCUAACUGUAAACGAUGCGGACUUGGUGUUGGGGUGGCUUUGAGCUGUCCCAGUGCCGAAGGGAAGCUGUUAAGUCCGCCGCCUGGGAAGUACGGUCGCAAGACUGAAACUUAAAGGAAUU
RNAcentral lists this ribosomal RNA (521 nucleotides) under uncultured bacterium. Its description in RNAcentral is "bacterial SSU rRNA". It matches the Rfam family "Archaeal small subunit ribosomal RNA", at positions 345 to 866 of the family's 1478-position model. The record is from RNAcentral.